UGAAAGCAUCCCAGCUACUGAGGUUAACCUGAAUUGAGUUAUCAUCAACUUUGCCACAGUCUAUUAACCAACUGACCAGCAGUUGAACAGAAACACUGAAAAUCUUCAAGGUCAGCAUUCUCAAUACAGGAAGUGGAAAACAAUUUGAUUGUCAUCAGAUCUGCCUGUGAUGAGAGUUUUGACCUGGAACUGACCAGCAUGCCUAUAGCGGCCCAAGUUAGAGUAUCAUGAUAUAACAAGAAGAUCGGCAGUGUGGACCUGUGAGGAGCUUGCUAGCCUGCAGCACUGGGGGAAUGUUACGUAGAUAGUGUUUCCGAUAUACACAGCAACUUGUCUGGGCUGGGAGGGAUGUAGUGAUGCUGCUGCUGGGGUUCCUGCGUCACUUGUUUGUGUGGGGAGGAUCUCGGUGAGUGUUGAUGGCCUCUCCUCCAUCCUGCCUAUGUUGUAGGAAACUCAUCCCAUCCUAGGUCCUGUGAUCUCAUGGAUUUACUUGUGGAAAUGGUACCAGGAAUGUGAACUUCGUGGAUAGCUGAAGAGGUGGAUUUACUUGAGAAACUUCUAGAGACUAUAAAAACUAAACAUAUUUGGAACAAUAUUCAAGACUGUGAAGUUCGACAUCUUUGAUCUAGAUAUUUGGAGGAUUCUAUAUCUAUUCCACUUGGAAUUGUGUUUUGGGACAUGUGACCGAUGGAAUGAGUCACACUCUGUUGUGUAAGCGGUGUUCGACACGUCGUCAUCGGAGCAACAGUCGCUUCCCGUCGUAUCUCCAAUAUGAUGCCACAGCCCAUUCAGGAAGUCAUCAACAGCCUCAUGCUGCCCUACCCCAUGGAGAAAAUUGCCAAGGGCCAUGACGGAUUUGAGGAACUACGCAAGUACAUCAAGCAUGGCAGUGAGUUCACUAAGGAGGUGGCUGUCCUCUUACAAGAGAGGGCGGAUAUUGAAAGCACAUAUGCCAAAGGGUUGGCAAGAAUUGGCAGUAAGCUAGCUAAAGCUGCUGGCACAGGGUUGGGGAGUUUAUCUGAUGGAUGGAAGUCGGCUGCAUUGGCCAUGGAGCAGGAAUCAGAGCUACAUAAAAAUUUAGCUUCUGGAUUGCUGGAAGAAAUUAGCAAACCUCUGAAGUCUGUUGUGGAAACACAAAACAAAGCAAGGAAGCCGAUCGAGGCCAUGGUAGAUAAAGCAUUCAGGAAUCUCACAGACAGACGAGCAGAAGAGUAUAAGGCCAAGAAGAACGCUGUGUCAUGUGCUAAAGAAUAUGAGAAGGUGGAGGAUUCAGAAGUCAAAUCAGGGAAGUCAAAAGACAUAGCAAAGAUGGAGAAGAAGAGUAAGAACUCCCUGGCAGCGGUGCGAAAGGCAGACAAGGACUACGCCGAGUCCUGCUACAAGGGGGAGACUUCAAGGCAGGACUGGGAGUUCACCGUUUCCAAGGGCAGUACCCAGAUGCAACAUUUGGAAGAAGACCGAGUGAAGACGAUGCAGGAAUAUCUCAACAAGUACAACAGCCACAUAUCGGUGCUGCCUCCCAAACUAACACGAAUAUUAGACCACCUCAAUGAAACUGUGAUGGCAGUUGACCUUCAGAAUGACCUUCAGAUUGUUGUGCGUGAGAAAGGCGUGAAGGGUGCCCGGAUGCCGGAACAAGUCUUGAUGGACUGCUAUGCUGAAGAUGGUCAGUUCAACAUGAACCCUGUGCGGCUGCGGAAUGCUCUACAGAACUACCUGCUCUACAUACAGCAGAUGCUGGAGAGGGACCGCAAGGGCAAGGAGGGUGUACAGAAGCUAGUAGAUGUAUACAAAUCCAAGCCUAAUUUCGCUGAUGCUGAUGCACAGGAGGAUGUAAAACAGAGAUUAGAACAGACAACCUUUACUCUCAACUUUCUGGAAGCUAGUCACUACAAGAUCGCCAAGUCACUGGCCAAGGUGGACAAGAGAGACCCGCCAGUCCAUAAGUUCUCUCAGUACAUUGAGACCACCAGGGAAAAACAGGGUCACAUGGUGAGUUUGUUGAAGCUGCCGAUGAACCUGGCGCUGGACGGCAACUCAGACUAUACCUACUCAGCUGGCUCCGUCACGUCGCUAUCCACAGUCGGGGACCACUACUCCACCGUUGAACCAACCUACGACGAUGAUGAGUUUGAAACUGAUGACUUUGAUGAAUUCCCUCCUCUCACGCCGAUCGGGAGAUGCAAGGCGGUGUAUGAUUACGAUGCUGUUCAUGAAGAUGAGAUUUCAAUCAAACAAGGUGACAUAAUCUCGGUGUACGAGAAGCUGGCCGACGGCUGGUGGCAGGGCGAGCUGAAUGGAGAGGUGGGGAUCUUCCCAUCAACAUACGUGGAGGAUAUAAAAUGAGGAGCUGAGAGUCUAGCGUCUGGUGUACAUAGAGAUGUAUUUAUAUACAGCUCCAAGCAUUCUGCAUAAUGUACAUAGCAGUAGGUUACCGUUAAAGCCCUGUAUAUACACAGUAGUGAGCUAUGGUCCGUAUGAUGGAGGAGCUGAUUGUCAUCUGGGUAUUUAUUGAACAAUUAGCAUAUGCUCAUUGGAUUGAAAACAAGGGUGCCAUUCUUGUCAUGAAUGGUUCAAGAGCCUUCUACAAGGUCAUGACUGUUGUAUACCACUCAAUAUUUCCUAAGGACCACAUCUUUACUAUAGGUUACUUUUGAUCCUUACGAAGUGUUGAGUCAUAUAUGUCCGUGUGAAUGGCCUGGGACUGAUUGCUCCGUGGAAUGGUGUGACUUGUAAGCGCCGAAUGUGGAGAGUUCCAGGUGUUGAGAAGACUAUCAUCAUUACUUCAUGAUCUUGUAUUCGCUAUGUUCUUCCAUCACCAUCAAUAUAUACAACUGCUGUGUGGUGUGUUAGUGAUGCUAUAAGGUGGGGCGAUGGGGUAGCCUACUGGGUACAGCGUUCGCUCAUCACUCUGAAGACCUGGGUUCGAUUCCCCUCAUGGAUACAAAUGUGUGAAGCCAAUUUCUGGUGUCCCCUGAUGUGAUAUUGGAGGAAAAUAACUAAAAUUGGAAUAAUACUAAACUCACUCACUGCUUAGUACGAGCUGAUUUCCUUCUUGCAAGACUCUGACUUACAUUGAUUUGUUAAAAACAGCAACUGAAUUACAAAACAGUGUCUCGUGUGUGAGGACGUCAUUGUUCUGAGUACGAGCUGCUUUCAAUAUCACCUGACCUUGACUGAUUAUUAGAAAUAGCUUCUCCGUAAAGCCGAGUUUGUAUUCAUGGUGAAUGAGGAACAUGGUGUGAAUACCCGUGAAGUACUGACAUUGAGGAAGAACACCAGAACUCUGGUAGAUACUGGAUGUUAGUUUAUACUAGUGGUAUGUCAUGUUUGAGUUAAGGAUGAACGUUUUCUACUUUAAUCUAUCAGACACGUAUAGGUUAGAGGUUGUGUGAAACUGCUUCACAAUGUUUAACUGUUUCACCUGUUUCGACUUUACAUGGAGUCAGGUGUUUGGCUCGUCCAAGUUUAACCCUUUCUUGUUUCUACUUAGCUUCAAUUUGCAGAUGAAGAAUCUGUGUAUAUUUUCGUAACUAGUUGAUAUUAACUGUUGAUAUGUGCUGCAGCAUUAUUGUGUCAAGACUUUGUGUAUCAGUAGCAAGACUGUAGAGACUACAGGUCCAUCGACCAAUUACACAGACAUAUUUGUGUACAUACAACACAGGCUUGUGUUCGGCAAUAACAGUUCAAGAUAUUUCCAUCAUUCUUUAAAUUAUGAUCACUCUAGUUUGAGAACAACAAAAUACCUAGUUUUAUAGUUAGAAUAGAUAUGUUAUGGCUUCUCACAUUACAUCCAUGGUUAUCCAGUGUUUUAUGUGUCAGGCCCACCUGUACAAUCAGAAUGAACAUUAUAUGUGAGUUUACAAUCAGACCUCCUUUACAAGAUCCUGAUGCAAUAUUUGGGAAAAUUGAGGUGUGUGCAUAUAACCCCCAAGCCCAUCCUUAUCCUGCCAGUGCUGUUAUUAGUAGACAUUAACCUGAAAAUGAUGUUUACAUUAAUACUAAGAUAGGGGAAGAGUCCUCAUACAACCGGGUCUUUCCAUGCAGGAGUGCACGUCUACUGGGCUUACCGUUACAGAUUUCACUCAGCACUGAACCUAUCAACUAACCCAACUAAAAUAAGGAUGGAAGCGACACUUGAGAUCUGUGAAGCGAGAGUCACAGCAAGCAGCCUGAGUCAAUUAGUUGUACCUGGUAAACUGCUUCAGUUUUAUCUCUAAGUAGACUUAUCCCAUCAAGCAUGAUACAUGUAUUUAUCAUCAUAGAAUAGCAGCAUGAAGCACUGGAUAAUCAAAGGUGUCCCAAUUCAAAUAUUUUUGUUUCAUAGAUUUUUCGUGCACACUGAUGAUAUUACAACAUGCAGUAUGUUGUCACCUACAGACUACAUGAUGCUAUGCAGCCAUUCAGAUAAUCCAAGCUGACAUGAAUUUGCAUAAUAUGUACGCAAGAUCAUCAUUAAUAUCAUUCUGUAUUUAGAUGUCACUCACAAACAUCCAUAGCUGCACAGGGUAACCGUAGGAACAUGCUGGAGUUUGAUUUUCUACUCUCUGAUACAAUAAUAAACAGAUCUGAGAUAUUGAUAUUAAAUAUACAUUGAAUCACGGCCAACUCUCUGAUAUAAUAAUAAACAGACCUGAGAUAUUGGUGUAAAAUAUACAUUGAAUCAUGACCGAAUCAAUUUCUCUUUUUGAAUCA
This 4695-nucleotide unclassified non-coding RNA is filed under the name Haliotis rubra (blacklip abalone). RNAcentral describes it as "nostrin-like, transcript variant X3". The record is from RNAcentral. Lineage: Eukaryota; Metazoa; Mollusca; Gastropoda; Lepetellida; Haliotidae.